CCUCUGGAAGAGCAGUCAGUGUUCUUAACUGCUGAGUCAUCUCUCCAGCCCUCUGUGUUAUUCUUCCCUCUCUGCCCUUCCAGAUGGAGGAUUCAGCAAGAGCAGAGUCAGGAAGACAAAAUGGUGCCAACCCAGCUGAAAAGCAAGGGCUGUAUCAGAUAGGGGAGAUAAGCAACCCAUUGUGCUGAUGUCUUCAGGAGACCACAGACAGUGGUUCAGUGGAAGAACAUUUGCCAAGUCUGCAGGAUGCCUUGGAGUUCCAGUAUCUCGUGAGUGAGUAGAUGGUGAAGCUUGGCAGAGAGUCACCAGCUCUAGAUAGAGGCUGGCUUGAGUGUGAAUUCUAGGUCAGUUAUGAGCAGUGGCCCUUGGCCGAACAUUUUAUCUGAGUUUCCUUCUCUUUAAAGAUACUAUUACCCACGUAGUAUAGAGUUAUAAGGACUAAUCAAGGUGACUCAUAGACUAUAGUUAGAUAGUAACUUGAACAGUAAGCACAAACUAUACACUCUAGCUUUGUUCAGCUAGGCAUGCAGUGUAUGCCUGGGAUCCAGCUCUUCUAGUGGCUGAGGCAGGAGGAUCACAAGUUCUGCACCAAUCUAAGCUAU
Long non-coding RNA from Rattus rattus (black rat), 602 nucleotides. RefSeq lists it as uncharacterized. The transcript is spliced from 3 exons. Lineage: Eukaryota; Metazoa; Chordata; Mammalia; Rodentia; Muridae. The record is from RefSeq and is a predicted model, not a curated record.